UUGGUGUUGCUUGACAUUAGGGGUAUGUUGUAGUCCAUGGGUAAAGACAUUGUUGAUUUCGCUCUUCCAAGCAUCGAUGAUGCGUUUGACCCAACCGAUGGUGAGUGUAGAGAGGUCAUCAAGGAAUCAACCAUUGAGUUUGACAUGGAUGACAUUAAAUUGGCAUCUUCCGUUAACUUGGAGUAGAGGGCCGCUUACAAUGACAUACUGGCGGUUGUUGAAUGCGGUGAUGGGGGUGCAUUCUUUGUUGAUGGCCCUGGAGGUAUAGGGAAGACCUUCCUAUACUGGGCGAUGCUUGCCAAGGUGAGGAGCGAGGGCAAGAUUGGUAUCGCUACCGCGACGUCGGGCGUCGCUUCUAUAAUGCCUGGCGGCAGGACUGCCCACUCGAGGUUCAAGAUACCAUUG
This 405-nucleotide ribosomal RNA is filed under the name Triticum aestivum (bread wheat). RNAcentral describes it as "partial small subunit ribosomal RNA". The record is from RNAcentral. Lineage: Eukaryota; Viridiplantae; Streptophyta; Magnoliopsida; Poales; Poaceae.